Molecule: ribosomal RNA, 253 nt
Filed under: uncultured Thioclava sp.
Lineage: Bacteria; Pseudomonadati; Pseudomonadota; Alphaproteobacteria; Rhodobacterales; Paracoccaceae
Description: partial 16S ribosomal RNA
Rfam family: Bacterial small subunit ribosomal RNA
Source: RNAcentral
UACGGAGGGGGCUAGCGUUGUUCGGAAUUACUGGGCGUAAAGCGCACGUAGGCGGAUUGGAAAGUUGGGGGUGAAAUCCCAGGGCUCAACCCUGGAACUGCCUUCAAAACUCCCAGUCUUGAGUUCGAGAGAGGUGAGUGGAAUUCCGAGUGUAGAGGUGAAAUUCGUAGAUAUUCGGAGGAACACCAGUGGCGAAGGCGGCUCACUGGCUCGAUACUGACGCUGAGGUGCGAAAGCGUGGGGAGCAAACAGG